RNAcentral lists this ribosomal RNA (421 nucleotides) under uncultured bacterium. Its description in RNAcentral is "bacterial SSU rRNA". It matches the Rfam family "Bacterial small subunit ribosomal RNA", at positions 355 to 774 of the family's 1533-position model. The record is from RNAcentral.
UAAGGAAUAUUGGUCAAUGGACGCAAGUCUGAACCAGCCAUGCCGCGUGAAGGAUGAAGGUCCUCUGGAUUGUAAACUUCUUUUAUCUGGGACGAAAACGGGAUUUUUAUCUCAAUUGACGGUACCAGAGGAAUAAGCACCGGCUAACUCCGUGCCAGCAGCCGCGGUAAUACAGAGGGUGCAGGCGUUAAUCGGAAUUACUGGGCGUAAAGGGCGCGUAGGUGGUUAAUUAAGUCAGAUGUGAAAUCCCCGGGCUUAACCUGGGAAUUUCAUUUUAAACUGUUUGGCUAGAGUACGGGAGAGGGAAGUGGAAUUUCCGGUGUAGCGGUGAAAUGCGUAGAUAUCGGAAGGAACACCAGUGGCGAAGGCGACUUCCUGGCCCGUUACUGACACUGAGGCGCGAAAGCGUGGGGAGCGAACA